UCGACGAUGAAUCUUCUAGCUUGCUAGAAGUGGAUUAGUGGCGCACGGGUGAGUAAUGCAUAGGUUAUGUGCCCUUUAGUCUGGGAUAGCCACUGGAAACGGUGAUUAAUACUGGAUACUCCCUACGGGGGAAAGUUUUUCGCUAAAGGAUCAGCCUAUGUCCUAUCAGCUUGUUGGUGAGGUAAUGGCUCACCAAGGCUAUGACGGGUAUCCGGCCUGAGAGGGUGAUCGGACACACUGGAACUGAGACACGGUCCAGACUCCUACGGGAGGCAGCAGUAGGGAAUAUUGCUCAAUGGGGGAAACCCUGAAGCAGCAACGCCGCGUGGAGGAUGAAGGUUUUAGGAUUGUAAACUCCUUUUGUUAGAGAAGAUUAUGACGGUAUCUAACGAAUAAGCACCGGCUAACUCCGUGCCAGCAGCCGCGGUAAUACGGAGGGUGCAAGCGUUACUCGGAAUCACUGGGCGUAAAGAGUGCGUAGGCGGGGUAAUAAGUCAGAUGUGAAAUCCUGUAGCUUAACUACAGAACUGCAUUUGAAACUGUUACUCUGGAGUGUGGGAGAGGUAGGUGGAAUUCUUGGUGUAGGGGUAAAAUCCGUAGAGAUCAAGAGGAAUACUCAUUGCGAAGGCGACCUGCUGGAACAUUACUGACGCUGAUGCACGAAAGCGUGGGGAGCAAACAGGAUUAGAUACCCUGGUAGUCCACGCCCUAAACGAUGGAUGCUAGUUGUUGCCUUGCUUGUCAGGGCAGUAAUGCAGCUAACGCAUUAAGCAUCCCGCCUGGGGAGUACGGUCGCAAGAUUAAAACUCAAAGGAAUAGACGGGGACCCGCACAAGCGGU
This 840-nucleotide ribosomal RNA is filed under the name uncultured bacterium. RNAcentral's name for it is "bacterial SSU rRNA". It matches the Rfam family "Bacterial small subunit ribosomal RNA", at positions 62 to 933 of the family's 1533-position model. The record is from RNAcentral.